CCCAGACAACCAUCCAAGAGUCACAAUUGCCUCCAAAGCGAUUGUUACAUAUUUUUAGUGCAAGAUACAAUGACAGAGAAACGCUUUGACUGAGAACUGGUGCCAAGUAGCCCUGUGUGCUUCAAUUUUUUGUUUGUUUACCUUAUCCAUAUGCAUGCAUGUCUGUCUCCCCUCCCUUGUUCUGUCUUGUUCCUCGCUGCAUGUAGCUCAUGUGACCUCAGCAAUGUUAAUAUCUCUGAGGAAAUGGCCAAAAGCGGGGCAUGCAAAGCAGUGGCGUUGAGCGCCGACUUCGGCCCGUCUAUGAAGCGUAGCCAAAGCCAGGAGAAGGUAGCCUGUGUUAGAGUCAACAUGGACACUACCGAGGCAGGAGGAGAGAGUUCAGCCUUAGAGACUGCCUUGUGAUGGAGGAGACCUUGUCCUACCCCCCACCUAACACCACAGAGGGCCACCCUGGUACAGUGAGCAAGCUAGGACUUGAGCAGAGCAAUCAGACUGGUCUCUGGAAAAUAAGCCCCUUUUGUGGGUCUGCUGGGUCAACAGUUGAGCUCCAGUGACCUCCAGUGGUCCAGUGUAGCUAUGGGGGUCUUGAGGCCCCCCCAGUGCACAGAGGACUGACUGCCCUGUAGUGGCGAGCACAUUGCCGGGACAUGAAUGAACCAGACUCACACUGCCUACCGAAACCCCAUGUCAACCAAUCAUUUCCCACCCACUGCCACAGAUGCCAAAGGAUGGGGCCACCACCAUCACACAUAUGCGGAAUCUUCUUUAAUUGUUGUGUAUGCGUAAAUUUACUUAAUUGUAUUAUAUAAGGUAUAUUUUCUCAUGUACAUUUUAAGUUAUAUUUUAUUACCAAUUAAGAGAAACACAUUUGCAUCCUGUUUUUUUUGGCACACGUCAUGUGUGAGCUAUUCUGGUCUGUCGAAAAAAAAAAAAUAUAUAUAUAUAUAUAUCCUUUCCACAAUGUACUAAACACAAACCAGCUACACCAGCUCCAAAAACAGAUGUCAGUCAAGCCAUGAUGAUUCAAGUUGUUAUUGCUGUGAUUUCAUCAGUGCAAACUGGUUACAUCAUGACUAGACACUGGUCAUCUAAAUCUAAACUGUUGCAAACCAAAAGAAGAAUGUAGACAUUCAGACGCCUAUAGCCCAUAAUCUUUCUUGCUUGUGAAACAUUGACAAAGGUUGGAGUGGCAACAUCUUUUCACUGCCCCUGUACUGUAUCUGUACUGUAUCUGUACUGUAUACUCUGCAAGUUACAUUCUCAGUAUUGGUAUUGCUGCUCAGAUCAAGUUGUUCAACUGAGAAUAUUUUUUUUGUAAGUAUAUGUCAUUGUUAUGCUGUUUUAGUGGAAUUGUGUGCUUUCUGUUGUAUGUUUUAAUGGAACAUUUUCUGAAAUACUAAUUUAAGGUUAAGAAAGUGAUGGGAUGAAUACUACAAUAAGCACUUUAGAUUUGUUUGCCUGUAGGAAUUAGUGCACAGGCCUGAAUUGAGUUAAAAACCAUUGAAUCUGAAGAUCCACAGAACUGUUGCUCAAAUGUCUAGAAAAAGUUACAACUUUGGAAUCAACAUGAUUUCUGAUUGUGGGAAGUUCUUUACACUCAUCACUUGUCUGUCACUAUUCGUACAGUAUUUCAAUAUUAUAACCUAUUUGUGUAUUGUUGGAUUUAUUAUUCUUGGGACAAUUAUUUUUUGAUAAAUAGGAAAGUGAACAAAAAAGUCAUGUGCCGUCAGAUUUCUUCUAAAAGCAAUGAACAACAUUAUUCGGUGCAGUCAAAUUGUAUUCUCACAAUAUUGUACAAUUUAUGCUGUACAAGUUUUGAUACUUGUGAGUCACAAUGUACACCGUAUCAGUAAGUUCAAUAUUGCAGAUGUCAUUUCAAAAAAUGAUCUGUAAAAUGCAAUUAUAUAUUUCUCAUUUGCUUAGCACACAUGCUCCUGUUUUAGCAAUAAUAGACGAGUUUUCAGUACAAUACAAUGUCUGGAGUGAUGUUUCUAUUGAGCUGUCUAGGGGGAGUUUGUCGAACCCCAUCCACGUUGUGUGUCUCCUCUAUUGACUAUUAGUGUGUAGCUGAUUAUACAGACAAUAGCUUACGUGCCUUGUGAAUGCUCUUUGUUUGUCUUUUAUUCAUACUGUAGGCAUAGUGUUAAUGUUCAGGUAGUACACACACACACACACACACACGGCCCAAAAUGCGUAAGAGAGACGAGCAAGCUAGGACGGCAUAUCGACAGGCUGUUCAUAUCUGUUGAAACUGAAGUGAAAUAUGAAUGCGGUAGUGCUCUGAAUGUCCUCAACCCAACCCGACAACUAACCUGAUGUAUUACAUGACAAAUAUGUACUCAUUAGUACUUCAUCAUACUCAUUUUUGUCAAUAAUGUACUGUAUGUGUUUGUAUGUCACAGAUGUAGUGUUUGUUCACGAAUGGUAUGCACUGUCAUUUUUUUACAUGCAAUAUCAGUGAAUGUGCACAGAAUUAUUGUAACUUCAAUAUCACUAAUGAAAAUUACAGAAAUCGAAUGCAUUUCGCCAAACACAUUUCUUUUAACAAAAAUGUAAAUGUGCAUUGUUGCAAUUUUUGUUUGAACACAAUUCUGGUAAAAUGUUGGCUAUUUUAAGUCAUUACAAAUGUUGUUUUGGUAUUUGUAAUACUAUAUGUAUGCAG
RNAcentral lists this long non-coding RNA (2662 nucleotides) under Salmo salar (Atlantic salmon). RNAcentral describes it as "lncRNA (ENSSSAG00000097399.1)". The record is from RNAcentral. Lineage: Eukaryota; Metazoa; Chordata; Actinopteri; Salmoniformes; Salmonidae.